GGAGAGGUGGCCGAGUGGUUGAAGGCGUUGCUCUCGAAAAGCAAUAUAUCCUUUUUCUGGGUAUCGAGGGUUCGAAUCCCUCUCUCUCCG
Molecule: transfer RNA, 90 nt
Filed under: Clostridiaceae bacterium
Lineage: Bacteria; Bacillati; Bacillota; Clostridia; Eubacteriales; Clostridiaceae
Description: tRNA-Ser
Rfam family: tRNA
About the family: Transfer RNA (tRNA) molecules are approximately 80 nucleotides in length. Their secondary structure includes four short double-helical elements and three loops (D, anti-codon, and T loops). Further hydrogen bonds mediate the characteristic L-shaped molecular structure. tRNAs have two regions of fundamental functional importance: the anti-codon, which is responsible for specific mRNA codon recognition, and the 3' end, to which the tRNAs corresponding amino acid is attached (by aminoacyl-tRNA synthetases). tRNAs cope with the degeneracy of the genetic code in two manners: having more than one tRNA (with a specific anti-codon) for a particular amino acid; and 'wobble' base-pairing, i.e. permitting non-standard base-pairing at the 3rd anti-codon position.
Source: RNAcentral